Molecule: ribosomal RNA, 293 nt
Filed under: Escherichia coli
Lineage: Bacteria; Pseudomonadati; Pseudomonadota; Gammaproteobacteria; Enterobacterales; Enterobacteriaceae
Description: partial 23S ribosomal RNA
Rfam family: Bacterial large subunit ribosomal RNA
Source: RNAcentral
GGGUUGUGAGGUUAAGCGACUAAGCGUACACGGUGGAUGCCCUGGCAGUCAGAGGCGAUGAAGGACGUGCUAAUCUGCGAUAAGCGUCGGUAAGGUGAUAUGAACCGUUAUAACCGGCGAUUUCCGAAUGGGGAAACCCAGUGUGAUUCGUCACACUAUCAUUAACUGAAUCCAUAGGUUAAUGAGGCGAACCGGGGGAACUGAAACAUCUAAGUACCCCGAGGAAAAGAAAUCAACCGAGAUUCCCCCAGUAGCGGCGAGCGAACGGGGAGCAGCUCAGAGCCUGAAUCAGU